GGUCUUUUAGCUCAGCUGGAUAGAGCGUCUCCCUCCUAAGGAGAAGGUCGGCAGUUCGAACCCGCCAAGGGCCA
RNAcentral lists this transfer RNA (74 nucleotides) under Spirochaetales bacterium. Its description in RNAcentral is "tRNA-Arg". It matches the Rfam family "tRNA". From Rfam's summary of the family: Transfer RNA (tRNA) molecules are approximately 80 nucleotides in length. Lineage: Bacteria; Pseudomonadati; Spirochaetota; Spirochaetia; Spirochaetales. The record is from RNAcentral.